CUAGAAAGAAAUGGGUUACUUCAACAGACUAACAGUGUUGGUCUUUCCUUCCAGACAGGCAGGAAUGAAUGACAGCUUUAGAAAAGCCACACGUAUGGAAGAGAAAAGAUUAUGGACAAAGACUGAAGAGUACAUAAAGGCUCUUCCGAAAGGACCAGCUGGACUACCAUUUUAAAGGUCUCUUAUGAAACUGAGCAACACUGGAACACCUGUUACUCAACUUGAACAAAGGGAAUGCAGGAUGUGUCACCUAGAUAAUUAGCAUCCUAACUUCCAAGGGGACUGAUUUCCACUAUCAUGAUUCUUUUCUGUUAACAUGACUCAAAACAAGAUGCCUUCUCUUUGGGAUGAUCUUCCUUCAAAUGACAUCUCUCCAGUAUCAUUAAGAUCAAGACUACAUAGGAAGAAGUUUACAUCUUUCACAAGGAGCAACCUCCAAAAGAAAGAAUCCACUGUGAAGAACAGAAGAAACAAUGUGUUGCUUACCUGAACCCGAGGCAGUAGUCAAGGUACGAAACCUCUCUGUACUGAGUUAUUGUCUUACUCUCCUGUUGUUGCUAUGGUCUUUAUACUUUUCUGAA
Molecule: long non-coding RNA, 581 nt
Filed under: Phascolarctos cinereus (koala)
Lineage: Eukaryota; Metazoa; Chordata; Mammalia; Diprotodontia; Phascolarctidae
Description: lncRNA (ENSPCIG00000015785.2)
Source: RNAcentral